Molecule: transfer RNA, 87 nt
Filed under: Wigglesworthia glossinidia endosymbiont of Glossina brevipalpis
Lineage: Bacteria; Pseudomonadati; Pseudomonadota; Gammaproteobacteria; Enterobacterales; Erwiniaceae
Description: tRNA-Ser (TGA) (tRNA-Ser-TGA-1-1)
Rfam family: tRNA
About the family: Transfer RNA (tRNA) molecules are approximately 80 nucleotides in length. Their secondary structure includes four short double-helical elements and three loops (D, anti-codon, and T loops). Further hydrogen bonds mediate the characteristic L-shaped molecular structure. tRNAs have two regions of fundamental functional importance: the anti-codon, which is responsible for specific mRNA codon recognition, and the 3' end, to which the tRNAs corresponding amino acid is attached (by aminoacyl-tRNA synthetases). tRNAs cope with the degeneracy of the genetic code in two manners: having more than one tRNA (with a specific anti-codon) for a particular amino acid; and 'wobble' base-pairing, i.e. permitting non-standard base-pairing at the 3rd anti-codon position.
Source: Rfam by way of RNAcentral
GGAGGAGUGGUCGAGUGGUUGAAGGCGCUGGUCUUGAAAAUCAGAAAAGGUUUAAACCUUUCGUGAGUUCGAAUCUCACCUCCUCCG